Molecule: unclassified non-coding RNA, 867 nt
Filed under: Gigantopelta aegis
Lineage: Eukaryota; Metazoa; Mollusca; Gastropoda; Neomphalida; Peltospiridae
Description: deleted in malignant brain tumors 1 protein-like, transcript variant X2
Source: RNAcentral
AUUUGUAUUAUUGUAGAGUGUGGUAUGGGUGAGUGAUAGAUGAGUGAUAAGCUGACUGGGUGAAUAUAGUGUGGAACUGGGCUACUGAGUGGAUGAUUUGUCAUUAAUCGCUGAGAGAGAAUCAUUGAACAUUCAGUUUGGGAAAGACUUGGUAGAAGUGUAAGAGACUUUGUGGAAGUUCGGGUUAUUGUUUAACCCAGCUUGUGUGGUAUCUGUUGAGACCAACAACGGGAUGAGCAGCGAGGGGCAAUGUUAGAGUUUGACCAGGUGAUUGGGCUGCGGAAGUAUGUGAAGAAGGGACGAGGAAACUGACGUUGAUGUUAAUUCAUGGAAGUUGGGUACAGCUGAAGUGGAAAUUGAAGUUCCACAUGUGGGCUACUUAUUAGCCAUGAUGUGUGGUGGUGAAUAACAAGUGUAUUGUUAUCGUGCAGCAUCUCGGUGAAUAACAAGUGUAUUGUUAUUGUGCAGCAGAAACAUAUUGUGUAAAUAUGGCUGUAGUAUUUAGAGCUGAUCUGAAAUGGAGGGUGCUAACUAAUGUUAGUACAUAAUUUAGUUAGAACAAUAUAUGUAUAUAAAAGUUGAUCACGAGGAAGUGAAUCAUAAGGAUUGUGUUAUGAACUGAAACAUUGUAUAUUGAACUGUGUGGUUUUAGUAUAUUAUUUUGUGUGUUGUGAUACGUGAUAUUUUUAUAUGAAAUUAUGUGUAAAGUGGUGAUAAUGUAUGUUUAUUAUAUAUGAGAAGUGUGAGUGUUGAGGGAGUGCUGGUGAUUAGUGGUGUGUGAGAGGGAUAUAAUUAGGGUUAGUAAGUAGGAGUGGAGAAUGAAUGUGAUUGUUAUUUGUGUGCUGUAAAUAAAUGUAAUAUAAUUUA